RNAcentral lists this long non-coding RNA (410 nucleotides) under Equus caballus (horse). RNAcentral describes it as "lncRNA (ENSECAG00000043807.2)". Lineage: Eukaryota; Metazoa; Chordata; Mammalia; Perissodactyla; Equidae. The record is from RNAcentral.
GCGCGGGCUCUGCAGCCGCGCGCUCGCACGCUCGCUCUCCGCCCGCCCUUGCACGCCCAGUCUGGCUGCCCGAGCAGGGCGCACCGAUCGCACUACGCUCGCGGGGCCCAUCUCCUGCUGCGUCCCUCCUCCCCUGACUCUCCAGGGGCUGCCCCCACAGGAGUCCGUGCCCUCAACUGCCGGGUAGGAGCAGAUGUCCGGAGAAAGGCCAGGCGGCACGGGGGGUGUACCAUCAGCGGACACCUCCUCAACUCCCCUUCUGUGCUCAGAAAGUCCGAGAACAUCUGAAGAAUCUUCUCCAGCCCACCUCCACCCUAAGAAGCCCACGGGAAGCAGCCUGGUGUUUUAUUUGGUUCUCCUAAUGCAAAAGUCUCUCUGGGCUUCUGGGAACUAUGCCUUUUGAGGGUGAG